AAGUCGUAACAAGGUUUCCGUAGGUGAACCUGCGGAAGGAUCAUUAUCGAGUUUUGAAGUGGGUCUUAUGAGCUGGCUUUUCGCGAAGCACUGUGCUCGGGCCCCGCUCCAAUCCACUCAACCCCUGUGCACUUUCGGAGUUGCGGGUCCUUUGUAGUGAAGGCCUGUGGCUUCGUCUCUUAUCACAAACCAUAUGUAUUAUUGUUUUGUAGAACGUGGAUGCCUGCAAAGGCGGAAACUCAAUACAACUUUCAACAACGGAUCUCUUGGUUCUG
RNAcentral lists this unclassified non-coding RNA (275 nucleotides) under Hyphodontia sp. RNAcentral's name for it is "partial internal transcribed spacer region". The stretch from base 1 to 46 matches the Rfam family "Eukaryotic small subunit ribosomal RNA", at positions 1786 to 1831 of the family's 1831-position model. Lineage: Eukaryota; Fungi; Basidiomycota; Agaricomycetes; Hymenochaetales; Schizoporaceae. The record is from RNAcentral.